GACGAACGCUGGCGGCGUGCUUAACACAUGCAAGUCGAACGGAAAGGCCCUGCUUUUGUGGGGUGCUCGAGUGGCGAACGGGUGAGUAACACGUGAGUAACCUGCCCUUGACUUUGGGAUAACUUCAGGAAACUGGGGCUAAUACCGGAUAGGAGCUCCUGCUGCAUGGGGGGGGUUGGAAAGUUUCGGCGGUUGGGGAUGGACUCGCGGCUUAUCAGCUUGUUGGUGGGGUAGUGGCUUACCAAGGCUUUGGCGGGUAGCCGGCCUGGGAGGGUGACCGGCCACAUUGGGACUGAGAUACGCCCCAGACUCCUACGGGAGGCAGCAGCGGGGAGUAUUGCACAAUGGGCGGAAGCCUGAUGCAGCAACGCCGCGUGCGGGAUGACGGCCUUCGGGUUGUAAACCGCUUUCGCCUGUGACGAAGCGUGAGUGACGGUAAUGGGUAAAGAAGCACCGGCUAACUACGUG
RNAcentral lists this ribosomal RNA (468 nucleotides) under uncultured bacterium. Its description in RNAcentral is "partial 16S ribosomal RNA". It matches the Rfam family "Bacterial small subunit ribosomal RNA", at positions 28 to 507 of the family's 1533-position model. The record is from RNAcentral.